RNAcentral lists this ribosomal RNA (253 nucleotides) under uncultured bacterium. RNAcentral describes it as "partial 16S ribosomal RNA". It matches the Rfam family "Bacterial small subunit ribosomal RNA", at positions 524 to 776 of the family's 1533-position model. The record is from RNAcentral.
UACGUAGGUGGCAAGCGUUGUCCGGAAUUAUUGGGCGUAAAGCGCGCGCAGGUGGUUUCUUAAGUCUGAUGUGAAAGCCCACGGCUCAACCUCGAGACGUCGGCGGAAACCAUCUGGCUAGAGUCCGGAAGAGGAGAGUGGAAUUCCUGGUGUAGCGGUGAAAUGCGCAGAUAUCAGGAAGAACACCCGUGGCGAAGGCGGCUCUCUGGGACGGUACUGACGCUGAGACGCGAAAGCGUGGGGAGCGAACAGG